GUCGGACUUCGGUCCGAUGGAAACUGGCGCACGGGUGAGUAACGCGUGGGAACAUGCCCAAGGGUACGGAAUAACAGCUGGAAACGGCUGCUAAUACCGUAUGUCCCCUACGGGGGAAAGAUUUAUCGCCUUUGGAUUGUCCCGCGUCCGAUUAGCUAGUUGGUAGGGUAAAGGCCUACCAAGGCGACGAUCCAUAGCUGGUCUGAGAGGAUGAUCAGCCACACUGGAACUGAGACACGGUCCAGACUCC
RNAcentral lists this ribosomal RNA (250 nucleotides) under uncultured bacterium. Its description in RNAcentral is "partial 16S ribosomal RNA". It matches the Rfam family "Bacterial small subunit ribosomal RNA", at positions 72 to 339 of the family's 1533-position model. The record is from RNAcentral.